Molecule: unclassified non-coding RNA, 223 nt
Filed under: Hevea brasiliensis (rubber tree)
Lineage: Eukaryota; Viridiplantae; Streptophyta; Magnoliopsida; Malpighiales; Euphorbiaceae
Source: RNAcentral
CUUGAAAGGAAGCAGGAGUUUCUUUGAUGCUUUCUUUGAAUUGGAACCUUAUUAUUGGCAAGGAUUCCUCUCCUCAAAGUUGUCUUUAGGGGAGCUUGCCUUGUUGAGCUUAUCUUUAUUUGGUAAUGCCUCAAAUUCGUCUAGGUUUGAUAUUGUUACAAAAUGUCCUGCACCCUUGGUUAGAUUGAUGGGUAAUUUAGCACUUGAAACCAUCAUAUGAUGA